Molecule: non-coding RNA, 23 nt
Filed under: Arabidopsis thaliana (thale cress)
Lineage: Eukaryota; Viridiplantae; Streptophyta; Magnoliopsida; Brassicales; Brassicaceae
Source: RNAcentral
AGCUCAAAGUGGGCUGAAGUGAG